CCAGGAUCCCUCACGUUCCUAACAAACACAGUAAAACGAGAACCAUUUGUCAAAAGUGAAGCAAAACCUUUCCAUCGGCGCUUGGAUCUUUUUCGGUGGCCGCGUGAAUCAAUGUGAACUCGAUGCGAAACUCAACCCGGAUUCUUACAUUCGUACCGUCUCUGCGUCGUGGUUGUCCGAUUCUGAAUGGUGAUGCGUUUACAUCGUCGUCGUCUAAUUCAUGAUCGUUGUGCGGGAUGCAUCGUGAUAAGGAAUGACUGCUUGUAUUCGUUGUGGAUCGAAACGAAGAAUGUGGAUUCGUAUUCAGGUCCGUGCAUGGAGAUGGAAGAUGAAGAUUCUCAGAUUUGUGCGUGUGGCAUGAAGAUGAAGAUGAAGACGCCCCAAUUCUGUUAGAAGUUGUUAGAGAAUUCAGUUAGAAUAUUUUGAGUUGGUUAGAAGUGUGUUAUAUGGCUAUGACAGUUUUCUGUUAUGCAUUGGAAGAUUAUGAAUUGGAAUUUUUGCUAUGGUUUUACAGAUUAUGCCGUUUCUGGAGUCUUGAUCCGGUUGUUAUGCAUUGCAGACCGUUGCCAGUAUAUAACUAGUGGGCAAUGUUGUUCUGCAGCAGGUUGGCUCCCUUAAUAGUGCAAAAUUUAUGAUAGGCUCGUGGUUGAUUAGAUUGAUGCAUUGCAGACUGGUUUUGGCUCGUAAUCGGCUUUUUGAGCAUAUAUGUGGUUAGGAUUAGUAACUCUGAAUUUGGUAGGCGGCAAAGUUGCUCGAUUUAGGAUUAUUUGUGUUCGACUUUUGUGUGUUCUAUUGUCAUGAGGGUUCUAUUUUGUGAAUUUGAAAAUUGGAUGUAACAAAUGGGAAUUCGUGGUAAUUUCGGGCAUUGCCCAAGGUUGUAGCAGCUUUGAAAUGUGAAUGUGUCGGUUUGAAUUUUUGCAUUUUAUUUCGAACAUUGUAAUCAAAGGUUCGUGAAAUGACGCAAUGGCUUUGGUUUGAAUGACU
Molecule: long non-coding RNA, 984 nt
Organism: Lathyrus oleraceus (garden pea)
Lineage: Eukaryota; Viridiplantae; Streptophyta; Magnoliopsida; Fabales; Fabaceae
Exons: 2
Source: RefSeq, a predicted model, not a curated record